RNAcentral lists this ribosomal RNA (508 nucleotides) under uncultured bacterium. Its description in RNAcentral is "partial 16S ribosomal RNA". It matches the Rfam family "Bacterial small subunit ribosomal RNA", at positions 28 to 507 of the family's 1533-position model. The record is from RNAcentral.
GACGAACGCCGGCGGCGUGCUUAACACAUGCAAGUCGAACGGGAUAAUUUGAGAGCUUGCUCUUAGAGAAUCUAGUGGCAAACGGGUGAGUAACACGUAGACAACCUGCCGACAGGAUGGGGACAACAUUCCGAAAGGAAUGCUAAUACCGAAUGAAGCGGAGGAGAGGCAUCUCUCCUCCGUGAAAGAUGGCCUCUGAAUAUGCUAUCACCUGUCGAUGGGUCUGCGUCUGAUUAGCUAGUUGGUGAGGUAACGGCUCACCAAGGCGACGAUCAGUAGCCGGUCUGAGAGGAUGAACGGCCACAUUGGGACUGAGACACGGCCCAGACUCCUACGGGAGGCAGCAGUGGGGAAUCUUCCGCAAUGGGGGCAAGCCUGACGGAGCAACGCCGCGUGAGUGAAGAAGGUCUUCGGAUCGUAAAGCUCUGUUGACGGGGACGAACGUGCGAAGGGUGAAUAAUCCUUUGUAAUGACGGUACCUGUCGAGGAAGCCACGGCUAACUACGUG